AAAUAUUUGUUACUAAUACACAUGGAAGUUAUAUGUACUUGUGACGCAGUUAGAGAGGCCUGCAUUCUCUAUCUAUGAUAUACGUAGUACUGCGUAGCAUAUAAUUAUUUUAAAAGUAAAAGAAAGCAGAUAAUGAAGUCAUUUGCACGCAAGCGGUGCAAUAGAGGUGGCAAAUAUCCUUUUAGUAAAUUCUGAAAGAAGAUACCAAUCGAUGGAAUUAUUUAUAUGUGUGUAUUACACUAUAUAACCAUCUUCAAACCAGCGUCGAUUUUGACGAUUCCAUUUGCACAAUAAGGGAAGUGAAUCGUGGCUAGAAAUGGCAGAAGAAUCAUAAUAGCAUUACGAAUACUGUAGAGAUAAAAGAUAUGCAAUGAGGAUUAUCAUCAAUCACCCAGCUGCAAAUUGCACAUGGCCUUUCGGAGUGCACCGUAGCAUUUGUGUGCUACCGGUCAGGAUUAGGCGGCAUUAGUUGAAUCGAAUUCCAUGCUAAGCGCUCUGCAGAGCUAUGUGUUACGGCGAAUAGAAGGAACGCCAUGUGCCCAACGUUGCGGCUAUUCAAAUGGACUCCUACUGAUAGAGCAUUUAUUGACUAAAUGGAUGGUAAUGUAUUGUAGAAAGUAGUUUUGAUAUUUUUAUUGCACUUGAAUUAUAGUAAACUUGCGCCCGAAGUGUUUGCGACUUGCGACGAUAGCAUUAUUCUUGAUUUUUCUUUUAUAUUUUUUGCAAAACUACAUUCUUACAGUUUUAUAACACUUAACGUAGGUUAUUAUAUAUAACUUUAUAAUAAUAAGAAUUUCGCGUCGCAUGAUAGUCCUUAUUAAUAUUAUAAAUGAGAAAGUGGGUUUGUUUUUUUCAUCAUAUUAUCCGUUAUCUGCCCUCUGCUGAAUAUAAGUCUCCCCCAUAGGGGAAGUUUUUCAGUCGCCACGCUUGACACGCAGGAUGGCCUAUUGUUUUUUUUUUUUUUAUUUAUUAAUUUGUUUGUUACUUAACAGUACAUCAAACUGUUAUGAAAUUUAGCAUACGCAUAGUAUGUGUGACGGAGAAGGUUACACAUAUUAAAAGCGUUGUACGGAUUCUUGAUAUAUAAAUUAUGCAUAAAACCUCCAAAAUCUAUAGCCGAUGUAACAGCAGCAGAUAAAUAUCGAUCUGUCAUAAAAUAUCAUGAAGUUAAUUUCAAUUUAAGUUUGCCAGUUUUCAUUUCCUUCAAGUUGGGCGUUCGCUUAGUAGCCAAAAACUUGUUUGUUUGAUAGGUAUGGUUUCAGUAUUGAGUAACUCAAUAUUUUAUUAAAAUAUACUUAGGAAAUAACAAGAAAACAUUGUCAAUUAGGUUCGCGAAUGAUUGUUAUAGAUUACGUUCUUAGAUUGUAAUUACAUAAUAUAAUUAAAUGUUUUCACUGAUAUAUCAUAUACAACAAUAGUUAUUGAUAUACCCAGAAAUUUUGUUAAUAAGUGGCCUUUAUCAACUGAAAGUAAUAUUACGUAAAAUACAUUUUCAAGUGACAUCAAAAGACCUCCUCGGUUUUUAAUUAGAUCAAAACUUCGUCAUUUAAAAAUGUACUUAUAAAAAUAUUUUUUAUCUUAAAAUAUAUACUUUUAGAUUGAUUUCAUGCAAAUUUUAUUAAAAUUGGCUCAGUAAUUUGUAAUAAUCAAAAUAACUAGUUUUACCACGAUUUCAAUGAACUUUCACGAACAAAAUUUACGUAUUAAAAUGAAGUAGACAUGUUAGGUCUAACUUGACCUGUCCUGUAUCUUUGCAUUCUUCCUGACAUUUUUAUAUUUUGGAAUAAAAAUAGCACUCCGCUUCUUUUAUUUAUACCUCCACUUUUUUCAAACUAACUUAAUUUUAUAGUGUAUACUGUAUUUAAGAACCUACAACAAAUAUUACAGUAAAGAUUCAUGUUAUAUCGAAUGACAAUAACAACAGCGUGAUUGUUUUUGUUAUUUGAUAUAACAUGAGUUGGGAAAAUCGAUACGACAGAAAUGGAAUAUCGUUAUUUCACGGCGAGUUUAAAUAUUUAUAUAAAAUAUCCGUACGAGUAAACGAGUGAAUUGUAACAAAAUACCUUUGAUGGAAAUAAAAAUACUUGUUAAUUAUAUUUGUAUUUACUGGGAAAUUCCUUUAUCAAGUUGCUACUUGUGCUUACGAAUUGUGUUCAUUUGAACAUUCUUUAAUUACAUGCAGUGCCGUAUGCGGAGCAUGCUACACUAGUAGUUCCCAAACUAUUCGGGACUCUAAAUUCAGUUGCCAGUACAGUACUAUCUAGCACAACAUGCAUACCCAUGUAAAUUUCAAGAGAAGCAGGGCCCUCGUUAAUUUGAGCCUUGUCACGGGGCACAUCCCUUUCUUAGUAAGUCGGUAGCAGCAUCGUCGCCCGUUUCCACGGCGGCUAACGGCUUCUUGGCUCGGAAUUGCUACGUUUAUCUUUGUAAUAUCGAUUUGAACAUUCUACCUACAUUUAUUUAGAACGUUCCAACCUGAAAAUUGUACCUUGCGUUUUUAUUACAAAAUAUUUUAUUUUAUUUUCAAAUAACUUCUCUAAAAUGACACUUCUAUUGAGAAAUGCCAAAACUAUUAUAUAAAGGGUAUUUCAAAGUGAUAUGGUUAUAUGUAUUCAUUCAAA
Molecule: long non-coding RNA, 2621 nt
Organism: Galleria mellonella (greater wax moth)
Lineage: Eukaryota; Metazoa; Arthropoda; Insecta; Lepidoptera; Pyralidae
Exons: 3
Source: RefSeq, a predicted model, not a curated record